Molecule: transfer RNA, 70 nt
Filed under: Sciurus aberti (tassel-eared squirrel)
Lineage: Eukaryota; Metazoa; Chordata; Mammalia; Rodentia; Sciuridae
Description: Hesperosciurus aberti (tassel-eared squirrel) tRNA-Gly
Source: RNAcentral
ACUUUUCUAGUAUAAUUAAGUACAGCUGACUUCCAAUCAUCUAGACUCAGACUAAAACUGGGGAAAAGUA